This 269-nucleotide ribosomal RNA is filed under the name uncultured bacterium. RNAcentral's name for it is "partial 16S ribosomal RNA". It matches the Rfam family "Bacterial small subunit ribosomal RNA", at positions 337 to 598 of the family's 1533-position model. The record is from RNAcentral.
UCCUACGGGGGGCAGCAGUAGGGAAUUUUCGGCAAUGGGCGAAAGCCUGACCGAGCAACGCCGCGUGAGUCAAGAAGGCCUUCGGGUUGUAAAGCUCUGUUGUGAAGGAAGAACGGCUCAUACAGGGAAUGGUAUGGGAGUGACGGUACUUUACCAGAAAGCCACGGCUAACUACGUGCCAGCAGCCGCGGUAAUACGUAGGUGGCGAGCGUUAUCCGGAAUUAUUGGGCGUAAAGGGUGCGCAGGCGGUUUGUUAAGUUUAAGGUGAA